GCGCCCGUGGUGAAGCGGUAUCACAGCGUCCUUCCAAGUCGCAGUCACCGGUUCGAUCCCGGUCGGGCGCU
This 71-nucleotide transfer RNA is filed under the name Actinomycetes bacterium. RNAcentral describes it as "Actinobacteria bacterium tRNA-Gly". It matches the Rfam family "tRNA". From Rfam's summary of the family: Transfer RNA (tRNA) molecules are approximately 80 nucleotides in length. Their secondary structure includes four short double-helical elements and three loops (D, anti-codon, and T loops). Further hydrogen bonds mediate the characteristic L-shaped molecular structure. tRNAs have two regions of fundamental functional importance: the anti-codon, which is responsible for specific mRNA codon recognition, and the 3' end, to which the tRNAs corresponding amino acid is attached (by aminoacyl-tRNA synthetases). tRNAs cope with the degeneracy of the genetic code in two manners: having more than one tRNA (with a specific anti-codon) for a particular amino acid; and 'wobble' base-pairing, i.e. permitting non-standard base-pairing at the 3rd anti-codon position. Lineage: Bacteria; Bacillati; Actinomycetota; Actinomycetes. RNAcentral also lists the same sequence under 1 other name. The record is from RNAcentral.